This 815-nucleotide unclassified non-coding RNA is filed under the name Hevea brasiliensis (rubber tree). Lineage: Eukaryota; Viridiplantae; Streptophyta; Magnoliopsida; Malpighiales; Euphorbiaceae. The record is from RNAcentral.
UUUUUUUUUUUUUUUUUAAUUUGGCUUCAUUAAGAGUUCAUAGUGUAUUCCUACUAUUUUGAUAUCAUAUCAUGCUACUGGGCCUUGGCAUUCUCUGGAGCAUUCCAUUUUCCAAUUUAAACAAUAUGAUAACAGUUGUGAUGGUUAUAAUUCAUGGUUGUGCAUAUGUGGUGCCCCAUGGUUCCCUAUUGCAGAGGAGAAUUUUUCCAAAUUAUUUUGGUGUUUGUUUUUUAACUGGCAUUGAUCAUGUACUGUUCAUUGCUUCAGAAGCUCAAUUUACACGGAAAAGUAAUGGCUCAAAGAGAGACAUGUAUUAUGGAUAUUUUAUGUAUUAGUGAAGUUUGCUCAUAUUCUAUGCAUUAGGAUGUACAUUUUUUGCCCUUAAUCAUAGGACCAUGUCGUGAUUACCUUCAUUUAGACACAAGGUCACCCAAAAUUUUUUGAACAGUCAUCUGGUGCUCUUAAUAUUGUUUUAUUUUUAAUUUUUCAUUGAUUUCUCAACUCUUAAAUAUGUUUUCCUUCUCCCAUUUUAAAGGCCAUCUUCUCAAUGUGCUGAGAUAACAAAAAAUAAUGUGUUUCUUCUUCCAGUUAUGCUGUGCUUUCUUGUAAGAUCACAUGAUUGUUGCCUCAUUUUUCUGACUUUGUAGUAAAUGCUGCCUUUACCUACUAUAGCAGUGAAAUUGAUCGUUUAAUAUAAUUUCUGACCCUAAUAUUCUGGGAUUUUUUGGCUCCCCUCGUUGGUUUUCAUGGCUGCAUUUAAAAUAAAAUAUACAUGUUUAAUUCUCUCUUUGCAGACUCAUGAAAGAAUGUAAAGU